RNAcentral lists this microRNA precursor (60 nucleotides) under Chrysemys picta bellii (western painted turtle). RNAcentral describes it as "Cpi-Mir-15-P1b_pre stem-loop". Lineage: Eukaryota; Metazoa; Chordata; Testudines; Emydidae. The record is from RNAcentral.
UAGCAGCACAUCAUGGUUUGCAUGCUCUAGCAAAAAUGCGAAUCAUUAUUUGCUGCUUUG